UGAGGAAUAUUGGGCAAUGGGCGCAAGCCUGACCCAGCAACGCCGCGUGAAGGAAGAAGGCCUUCGGGUUGUAAACUUCUUUUAUGGGGGAAGAGAGAGGACGGUACCCCAGGAAUAAGUCACGGCUAACUACGUGCCAGCAGCCGCGGUAAUACGUAGGUGACAAGCGUUAUCCGGAAUUACUGGGCGUAAAGCGCACGCAGGCGGCCGCUUAAGUCUGACGUGAAAUCUCCUGGCUUAACUGGGAGGGGUCGUUGGAAACUGAGUGGCUUGAGGCAGUGAGAGGGGUGUAGAAUUCCCGGUGUAGUGGUGGAAUGCGUAGAUAUCGGGAGGAAUACCAGAGGCGAAGGCGACACCCUGGCACUGGCCUGACGCUCAUGGGCGAAAGCGUGGGGAGCGAACGG
Molecule: ribosomal RNA, 404 nt
Filed under: uncultured bacterium
Lineage: Bacteria
Description: bacterial SSU rRNA
Rfam family: Bacterial small subunit ribosomal RNA
Source: RNAcentral